Molecule: long non-coding RNA, 409 nt
Organism: Saccostrea cuccullata (small rock oyster)
Lineage: Eukaryota; Metazoa; Mollusca; Bivalvia; Ostreida; Ostreidae
Exons: 2
Source: RefSeq, a predicted model, not a curated record
CGCUGAAACAGAUGUCUAAAUAAAUAGAGCAAUGGACAAUAGAGCAAUUAUUAUGAUGCUAUAAAACGCGGACCCCCAUUCAAGAGCUAGGUAGGAUCAGGUGAAUGAAGAACACUUUAUCAUUGACUCUCUGAGGAAGUGGGGCCCUUCCGCCCGCUGCAGAGCACACCCUGUUGUCCAGAAGUUCAAUUAAACGAACAAAAGCGGAACGUGUACGGUAUAUGAAUCAGUUCUUUGUUCUGAGGAGAGUAUUUGUGAUUAAAAUAUGUAUGGCUUGAAGUGAAAAUGUAGAACUUCGUCAUAUGUGUUACACAGUUGUACAAGUAAUGUUGCCAACCGUUACUUAACCCACUCCCAUGUUACUUUUUGCACUUCAAAGUAUCCAAUUAAACGGUUGGGCUCUUUUAAA